UAAGGAAUAUUGGUCAAUGGAUGCAAGUCUGAACCAGCCAUGCCGCGUGCAGGAAGACGGCCUUCUGGGUUGUAAACUGCUUUUGUCAGGGGAUAAAAUUUCCUUGCGAGGAAAAUUGAAGGUACCUGACGAAUAAGCCACGGCUAACUA
RNAcentral lists this ribosomal RNA (150 nucleotides) under uncultured Flexibacteraceae bacterium. RNAcentral's name for it is "partial 16S ribosomal RNA". It matches the Rfam family "Bacterial small subunit ribosomal RNA", at positions 355 to 503 of the family's 1533-position model. Lineage: Bacteria; Pseudomonadati; Bacteroidota; Cytophagia; Cytophagales; Cytophagaceae. The record is from RNAcentral.